CUUGCUCGCUGCUGCUGCCACGUAAGAAGUGUGUUGCUUCCCCUUCGUCUUCCACCAUGAAUAACAGAAUGGCAAUUUUCGUGUGGUGUUAAUUUCCGUGGAAGAAGAAAAGGCUCGACUCUCUGUCCUAUUUUUCAUGAAUACUGGAAGUAGGGAAUAAACCUGGAGUCUCACGGGUGAAAAGAGACAUUUCCAUAUCACCAGACCACAAACGUGGAUGGAGUUUCACUCUUAUGGCCCAGGCUGGAGUGCAAUGGCGUGAUCUCAGCUCACCACAACCUCUGCCUCCCGGGUUCAAGUGGUUCUCCUACCUCAGCCUCCUGAGUAGCUGCGAUUACAGAUACAUAGCUCUGGCCAAGAAGUGUGGUUUUGAAGAGCCCAAACUGUAUCUGUUACCUGAUUUCAAAGAAUAUUCCACCUAGGAGAGACCCAGGUCCUGCAGACUUCCUCUGGACACUUUUGGCAGUCAUUGUUCCCAGCUGAUUCUGCAACAGAUGAAGGACGGAGGAUAGAAUCAUGAAUAGCAACAUCUUAAUUGCUGACUGGGUGUUGAUUCUAAGGAUACCCCCAAUAAACAUCUUUCGUGCUAAAGCCCAUUCCAGAAUUUACUUCCCAGCUAUCUUUGAUGUUCAUAUUGUCAGAGGUGGUGGCCGCUGAAACAGGCAAAGACAUGGAGCAUAUCUUGGGUCCAGGACCUUGGGAGUCCAGAGGAAGGUCUUUUUACCAUCAGCAUUCUCUACUGUGUUCAAUGACUGUCAGCCAAAGAUGGCCAGGUUCUCUACUGUGAUGGUGAAUUUUAUGUGUCAAUUUGACUGGACCAUGGGAUGCCCAGCUUUCCUUCAGAAAGAAAUGCAUUCAAAGAACCUACAUUCACAACAUAAAGAAAUAAAGCCUGCACCUACAGAUCUACACACAUGCCCAUGCACAUGCAGGAAGUGUUCAUCUAAGACUGGACCUUUUAGAAGAAAGCUGGCAUACAUUCGUGAAGGCAUGGGCUUCCAGGCAUGUCAUCUUCACUCACGAAGCACACACAAGACCGCCAAGCAUUAAGAUUCUCCUGUGGAGCCAGGCUACAAUCCUUUAAAUGAAGACAGACAGCUAGGUGGCUGCAGCCCAGCGCUACACCUCACCCCUCCCUCAGUGUCAUGCAGAAAAAAUGUAUUCAGAACUCAGAAGUGAAGUUGUGCAAAUCCAUCAUUGACACUAGCUUCAAGGUUACCUCGGGGGAGCAGAAUGUACCCCUGCCAGAGAGCUGGAUAGAUGAUGAUGGGGACAGAAAUUCUGGGGGAGUUGUAAAUGGCAGCCACUGCCUCUAUAGGAAACCCAAAGGGAACACAGCAGAAGAGGAGGUGGUGGAGGAGCCACUGCCCUCUCGAAGGGUUCAAUGUCAUUCUGCAGACACAACCAAAUAACUUUUUCUUCCCUGCUGCUCCUCCAUUUGAAAUGACAGCCCCGAGCUCGCUUUUUCCUUGAUUGUGUAACUCUGAUUACAGACAAGGCCAAGGCAAUCCCAGGGCAUUACUACAAAGCUAAGGGGUCCCCAAAGAACUAAAGAGUCAGCUCCACAAAAAUCCCGAUUCCUAGCAUGAAACUGAAAUAUGAAACCAAACGGGCAUAGAAAAGGUAUGUGCAUUCGAAUCACAUAGCAGUGACUGGAGUCCUGAGCUGUGUCUGAAGACUGUGAGAUCACGUUUGGAGCUGCUGAUUGGUUUUCAGUGAUGGCCCUGUUGCACAGUGCCGUGAGACUUAGCUCCAUGGCCAAAGACGAUGGUAUCCCCUAGGAGCCCUGUGAGGUUGCUGCUGUUCUCUUAAGACACCAGGUAGCCAUCUGAUCCUCCCUGAGCAAACUAACUGGGCAGACAGGUUUAUUAAACCUCUGUUGGUCCGACUUACAUGAAACAAGAGAGUUAUUUUGUUGUUGUUGUUUUGUUUUGUUUUAAAUUAAACCUGUCUUUGGAGCCUCCUG
This 1966-nucleotide long non-coding RNA is filed under the name Homo sapiens (human). RNAcentral describes it as "PREDICTED lncRNA (TCONS_00103634)". The record is from RNAcentral. Lineage: Eukaryota; Metazoa; Chordata; Mammalia; Primates; Hominidae.